This 239-nucleotide ribosomal RNA is filed under the name uncultured bacterium. Its description in RNAcentral is "partial 16S ribosomal RNA". It matches the Rfam family "Bacterial small subunit ribosomal RNA", at positions 104 to 334 of the family's 1533-position model. The record is from RNAcentral.
UGGCGGGACGGGGUGGAGUAAUGUCUGGGAAACGUGCCUGAUGGAGGGGGAUAACUACUGGAAACGGUAGCUAAUACCGCAUAACGUCGCAAGACCAAAGAGGGGGACCUUCGGGCCUCUUGCCAUCGGAUGUGCCCAGAUGGGAUUAGCUAGUAGGUGGGGUAACGGCUCACCUAGGCGACGAUCCCUAGCUGGUCUGAGAGGAUGACCAGCCACACUGGAACUGAGACACGGUCCAG